GAUGAACGCUGGCGGCGUGCCUAAUACAUGCAAGUCGAGCGAACGGACGAGAAGCUUGCUUCUCUGACGUUAGCGGCGGACGGGUGAGUAACACGUGGAUAACCUACCCAUAAGACUGGGAUAACUUCGGGAAACCGGAGCUAAUACCGGAUAAUAUUUUGAACCGCAUGGUUCAAAAGUGAAAGACGUCUUUCUGUCAAUUAUAGAUGGACACGCGCUUCAUUAGCUAGGUGGUAAGGUAACGGCUUACCAAGGCAACGAAGCAUAGCCGACCUGAAGAGGUGAUCGGCCACACUGUAACUGAGACACGGUCCAGACUCCUACGGGAGGCAGCAGUAGGGAAUCUUCCGCAAUGGACGAAAACCUGACGGAGCAACGCCGCGUGAGUGAUGAAGGUCUUCGGAUCGUAAAACUCUGUUAUUAGGGAAGAACAUAUGUGUAAGUAACUGUGCACAUCUUGACGGUACCUAAUCAGAAAGCCACGGCUAACUACGUG
RNAcentral lists this ribosomal RNA (496 nucleotides) under uncultured bacterium. Its description in RNAcentral is "partial 16S ribosomal RNA". It matches the Rfam family "Bacterial small subunit ribosomal RNA", at positions 28 to 507 of the family's 1533-position model. The record is from RNAcentral.